UGUGCUUUUAUCUGUCAUCUUGGACUUCUGCAUAAGGGAUCAUUUAGAGAAAGGACUCUGACUAAAAACAAAAAGUCUGAAGUCCUGAUGUCAUCCAAACCCUUCAUUCUACACCUGCUCAGAGGGACAGGGCAGCCUGCCCUCUCCAGAUCCUCACUUGGCUCUGGCUCUGGUGGGGCCACUGUCUCUAGUUCCUCUUUCUGCGGGGUAACUGCCUGCUCCUCCAUCUCCUUGCUUUCUUCUUUCUCUGCAAACCAGAAGCAGGAAGAGACUGUGGCCCCAGGCCUGGCCCAGCCCAGCCCUGCCCUGGCACUCUCCCUUACCCGUCUCACUCUCUGGCCACAGUUUGGGUGGCUGUAGCCCCAUGUAAGUCAAAGACAGAUCCAGCCGCACCUGGGAAGCAAGGCAGAGGGAGGCUGAAAGGAGUGCACCUGUGCUGAGGGGAGGGGCGGUUGAGGGUGGCUCCUCAUGGUCCACCACCCCCUACCUGGGGUGUGAAGACGUAUUUAUAGAGCUUGAAGUGGCGGAAGUAAGUGUUGACCACGUAGUCUUCCAAGGCCAGCAGCUGUUCCUCUUUGAAGAGGUCGAUGCUGAAAGGAGGCCGCUGUGGUGGUGACUCGGAAUUAGAACCCUGACUACCUUCCGGAGCCCUGGCUUUGCCUCCAAAAGCCCAGCAACAGGAGCAAGGAGAGCCCACUGGGGUCUUCACAAGAAGAUAAGGGUGAUGAAUGUGAGAGAGACUGGGUGAGACCUUGUCUGGGGAUGGGUAAAGUUUCCAGAAUGUUCCAGGGGAACUGACCCUGACUCCAUGGCAAAAAAGGACACUGGUGAAGUAGCGGUAGCACUCCUCCACGUUGCCCAAGGGGGUUGCUGGUAGGGAAAGCAAGAUGCAGCAGUGAGGCCCUCUCUGGUAUCCAUUCAUUCACUUCACUCAACAGCUGUUUAUGACCAUGAGCUUCAGAAGCAGACAGAUCUGGGUUUCAGCACUGGCUUGUUUCCUUAACUCAUGUAACAAAUACUGAAUACCCACUAUAUGCCCACUGUAUGGUUUUCGGCACUGAACAAGACAGACAAGGUCCUGCCCUUACGAAGCUUAUAUUCUAGGGGAAUAAACCAAGAAAUAGAUCAUUUCAGCUAUUAAACAUUCUGAAGCAAGAGCUAUUAAACAUUCUAAAGCAGGUGUUAUUGUGCACUAUGCAUAUAUUUGCAUAUAUUAUUUCUCAGAACAGUCCUGUAAAAUGUGUGCUGUAUCCUUAAUUUCUAGAUAAGGAAGCAGUGGAUUGGAAAGCUGAUGGCUUGUGUAUGAUGAUGCUACUAAUAAUGACAUAUUCCAGGCAGAAAUCCCCUGCUUCUGCUUCCCAUGGUCACUUGUGCCAGGCCCGGUUCCUCUUCUCCCUGGGGCUCAAACCUGGUAGCUGCCCCCUCUCACCAAUACAAGCCUUGUGAAGAUCCUGGAGCAGGGCACAAGCCGCUGACGUCUGCUCCAGUGAGAAGCCCUGCUGGCGGCAGAAAAUGAGCGCGUGGCAGAAGAGGUCCAGGGUGAUGGCGUCCCUCAGGCUCUGCUCAGGACACCCUAGCUCCAGCAGCUCAGCCAGCACCCUUGGGAGGGAGAGAGGAGUGAGUGACAACUGGGCCUCCUUUCAUCACCCUACACCCACCACAUGCUUUGGAGUCAGCCAUUCCUCAUGUUUUCCCAACCUGACCCCUCAGCCUUUGCCAAGAGCUCUUCCCACGCCCCCCUCAGUCCCUACUCCCUCAUCUCAGCAUUGGUGGUCUUCUCCAGCUGGUGCAUGGAAUGGACGUCCAGGUACUUCCUGUUAUAGUAAAAGAAAAAGAGUAUUGGUGGCCGUUACCUAUCAUGACAAGGCUGUGACAGCUAGUGCGUGAGACUGGGAGUUGGCCACCGGCGUGAAGCUGGGCUCUUUUGCCAGCUUGCUGUGUGACUAUGCAAAUCGUUAACUCUCUGGGCCUAAAUGAACUCUUAUGAGCCUCUCCAUUUCUAAAGCCUAGGGUUAGGAAUCUUGAAUUCUUUUUUCUGCUCUGCCACUACCUUGUAUGACCUUGGUCAAGUACUCCCUGUGGCCCUCAGUGUCCCCCUCUGUACAAUACUCCUUAGCGGCCAUGAGACUCCAUUUACAUUCUGUCUUUGGCUCUUUUUUUCUCACACUGCCUCCUCUUUGGACUGGAGAGGCUGGAAAGCCAACUUCCAGUCACCUGGAGUAAUUGCAUCUCCAGGCCUCAGUCUCAUCUGUAAAAUGGGGAUGCCCUGGCCACAGACAGGACUGUUGGGGAGACAAUAAAGAACGCAAAUAUUC
Molecule: long non-coding RNA, 2315 nt
Filed under: Homo sapiens (human)
Lineage: Eukaryota; Metazoa; Chordata; Mammalia; Primates; Hominidae
Description: long non-coding RNA NONHSAT141810
Source: RNAcentral